GUGAAUUAAGGUAUUGGAAAAGAAAUAGAGCAAUUUGGAGCUAAAUUGGACGCGUUGGCCAAUUAAUCGGGUGAUAAGACGAAUUAGGCCAAUACCGAGUUUAGAUGGUUACCCGUGCAUUUUGCAUUCCAUAUUAUGCAUUAGUAGUCUAAAUUAGUUUAAUUUCGAUUUAGUACCAAUGUAGUAUGUUUCUCGAUUUUGUACUAUGUCAAGGUGGUGAGUCCUCCGAUAAAGGCAAGGAAAUUGCAUCCGAGGAUCAGCAGUCAAAGUACUUCAAAAAUCCGCACUCUAGACAUUGUGAGUAAACUUACUGUCAUUUUAAUUAUCUAGGGUGGCUUUUAGAUGAUUUCAUGAAUUCUAUGGAAAAAUGGAUUUAAAAAGGUAAAUUUUCAUGUUUGAUGAAUAAAUGUGUUUCAAUGAAAUUAAUUUAUAAAUUAUUUUGAAAUUAAUAAUGAUUUUGAAAAAUAGAGUACAUGGAGACUGUUAUUUGUUGCAAUUUGAUUGUUUAAAUUGAUUGGCUUAUGAUAAAUCGGGCAUGAAUGGCUAGUUGACAAUUGUAUUGAAAUAUGGAUUGUUUGUUUGCCUUGAAAGGCUGUGAAUUACAAUAAUUGCCAUAUCAUGUUAUUGAAUUUUAUUGAUUGGUGGGAUAAUUAUUAACUUACUGUAGUAGGCGGGUUUCGUGGACCAGCCUAUGAGAGGGGCAUAGUAACCCCGUUUAUAUGUGCUCACCUCGAUUGUAGAGGUGUGUAGGGUAGCUCCUAAGGUGAUAUUUGGGUUCACUUCACGCCGAACACCACGUGAUGGUCAACUCAACCAACGCCAAGGAACGGUUGUGAUGUCUAAUGAAAAAUGUGUUUUAUGCGAAAUGUGAGUUUUUAAUAGCCUUGGCUGUCUCGGUAUGAUGCUUCGGCCAAGGUGUCACCGAGGAUGGAUUUAUGGCACAAGCUUAGUUUUUAUGAGAUUCAUAAGCCUCGUUACGUAUUUUGAAUGAAAUGUGUUCUAAUGCUGUGACCCAGUGUAUGAUGAUUUGUUUUAUCGUCUCCAUGUACUCAACUCUAGAUGUUUAUGAUGAUGUCUGUUUACUCACUGGGAUUUUAUAAUCUCACCACCCUCAUUUCCACCCAUUUCAGUCUUAGUAUAGACUGUAGAUAGCUAAUAUCAUCGAAGGCUACAAUUGGCUUUACUUCCUAAAAAAUUGUAGGUUUGCAGCCUUCGUUCAUUUUUAUCAUUUAGGGGUCCACAUGUCACUGUAAAUUAAAUUUCAUACUCUAGUUAUCUGUACUACUGUAUGUAAGAAUUUAUUUUGCUUUUACGCUGUAAAAAAAUUAUUUACGCAAUGUUCUAAAAAAUAUUGUUUUAUAAGAAAAUAGAAUAUUUUGUUUAAUA
Molecule: long non-coding RNA, 1386 nt
Filed under: Theobroma cacao (cacao)
Lineage: Eukaryota; Viridiplantae; Streptophyta; Magnoliopsida; Malvales; Malvaceae
Description: long non-coding RNA (TCAC_LNC000245)
Source: RNAcentral